AGUGAACGCUGGCGGUAGGCCUAACACAUGCAAGUCGAACGGCAGCACAGUAAGAGCUUGCUCUUACGGGUGGCGAGUGGCGGACGGGUGAGGAAUACAUCGGAAUCUACUUUUUCGUGGGGGAUAACGUAGGGAAACUUACGCUAAUACCGCAUACGACCUACGGGUGAAAGCAGGGGAUCUUCGGACCUUGCGCGUUUGAAUGAGCCGAUGUCGGAUUAGCUAGUUGGCUGGGUAAAGGCCCACCAAGGCGACGAUCCGUAGCUGGUCUGAGAGGAUGAUCAGCCACACUGGAACUGAGACACGGUCCAGACUCCUACGGGAGGCAGCAGUGGGGAAUAUUGGACAAUGGGCGCAAGCCUGAUCCAGCCAUACCGCGUGGGUGAAGAAGGCCUUCGGGUUGUAAAGCCCUUUUGUUGGGAAAGAAAAGCAGCAGGUUAAUCCACCGCUGUUCUGACGGUACCCAAAGAAUAAGCACCGGCUAACUUCGUG
This 492-nucleotide ribosomal RNA is filed under the name uncultured bacterium. Its description in RNAcentral is "partial 16S ribosomal RNA". It matches the Rfam family "Bacterial small subunit ribosomal RNA", at positions 29 to 507 of the family's 1533-position model. The record is from RNAcentral.